GACGAACGCUGGCGGCGUGCCUAAUACAUGCAAGUCGAACGCAGUGGGGACGGGUGAGUAACACGUGGGUAACCUCCCAUCAGAGGGGAUACCACUUGGAAACAGGUGCUAAACCGAUACUGAUGGAUGGACCCGCGGUGCAUUAGCUAGUUGGUGAGGUAACGGCCCACCAAGGCCACGAUGCAUAGCCGACCGGAGGGGAUGACCAACCACAAUGGAACUGAGACAAGGUCCAGACUACUACGGGAGGGAGCAGUAGGGAAUCUUCGGCAAUGGAGGGAAGUCUGACCGAGACAGGCCGCGGGAGGGAAGAAGGUUUUCGGAUCGGAAAGCUCUGUUGUGAGGGAAGCGGUAACUAACCAGAAAGGGACGGCUAACUACGUGCCAGCCGCCGCGGUAAUAC
This 403-nucleotide ribosomal RNA is filed under the name uncultured bacterium. Its description in RNAcentral is "partial 16S ribosomal RNA". It matches the Rfam family "Bacterial small subunit ribosomal RNA", at positions 28 to 526 of the family's 1533-position model. The record is from RNAcentral.